AUUUCCACAGGACCUUUUAAAACAGAUAUAAAUGUAUACAAUUUACCUGUUCCUACCAGCACACUAAAAUCAUUUAAACCUCAAUGACUAUGGUUGGAGCUCGACCAAGCAUGUAAAUACACAUACACCAAAGUCUCCUUGGAAAGAAUUCAAAUUUGAAGCGAAGAACACAAACAAGGAUCUGCAUCCGGUGUGGAAUGAGCCUGGCUUAAAGUGAAGUUGUUGGCCUUGGAGGUUUGACCAGGUAACCCCGUGGGCAUUUGUCAAGAAGAUCCGAGCAUGCUGAGUGUGUUGUUGCCAGAGGUGACAACCAAUCAACAGGAAGCAAUGAUCAGAGAAGAAUGCCAUCCAGUCUGCUGUCAGCAUGCCAGAUUGUCCAGCCACACCGACAAUACAGUAUAAACCACUGUCCAGAAUGACCGACUUGGUAAGUGCCAGCAGCAGUGGAAGCGGAAGGACAUUUAGCCAUUCACUGCUUUGAGCUGGGUGUACUUGUGAAUUAACUGGAGUGGAAGAUUUUUGUACAUUACAUCUGCUAUGAGGCAUCAAGCCACUAUUGCCUUAAUGUCAUGCACACUAACAUAGGUGAUUUUAAUAUCUACUGUAACAGAUUUAUUUUUUGCUUAGUAACACCACUUGUCUUUUGCAGUUCCUGUCCUUGUGUCUGCUCCUGCAUCCCUGGAAACAUCAACAACUAUUUCACCUGUGAUAGGUUAUCAAAAUUGUCCUAGUCUGUCCUGUUAGAAUUGUCCAGGUGGGUUCGCUGGUUC
Molecule: long non-coding RNA, 770 nt
Organism: Stegostoma tigrinum
Lineage: Eukaryota; Metazoa; Chordata; Chondrichthyes; Orectolobiformes; Stegostomatidae
Exons: 3
Source: RefSeq, a predicted model, not a curated record